UACGUAGGGCGCAAGCGUUAUCCGGAAUUAUUGGGCGUAAAGAGCUCGUAGGCGGUUUGUCGCGUCUGCCGUGAAAGUCCGGGGCUCAACUCCGGAUCUGCGGUGGGUACGGGCAGACUAGAGUGAUGCAGAGGAGAAUGGAAUUCCUGGUGUAGCGGUGAAAUGCGCAGAUAUCAGGAAGAACACCCGUGGCUAAGGCGGUUCUCUAGUACGGUACUGACGCUGAGACGCGAAAGCGUGGGGAGCGAACAGG
RNAcentral lists this ribosomal RNA (253 nucleotides) under uncultured bacterium. RNAcentral describes it as "partial 16S ribosomal RNA". It matches the Rfam family "Bacterial small subunit ribosomal RNA", at positions 524 to 776 of the family's 1533-position model. The record is from RNAcentral.